Molecule: long non-coding RNA, 328 nt
Organism: Bos taurus (domestic cattle)
Lineage: Eukaryota; Metazoa; Chordata; Mammalia; Artiodactyla; Bovidae
Source: Ensembl
CCAUGCUUUACCUGAGGGCCCUGCAGGUGAGACUUGCGGAACAUGGCUAUGACGGGAACUUCAGGCCCCAGCCCUGCCCUCCAGAGGAUCUAUUUUGGGUCAGCAGAUCCUGCUUCAAAUCCCACCCAGGAAGGACUCGAAGUUUCUGCUGGCGUGGUUUCUGCCUCCUCUUUCUAACUGUGACUUUUCCGACUGCAGCAGGGGUUUCUCAGUUUGGACAUCUCUACUAUGAUCUUGAUGUGAUAAGUUAUUCUAUCUUUUUCAGAACUAAAACCCCCAACAGAUGGAAGAUGCUACCUAAUGAAGCUACCUAAUGAAGCAUUCUUCA